UCAAGCUAAUAAGAGCGCAAGGGGAAUGCCUUGGCAUCAGGAGCCGACGAAGGACGUGACAAGCUGCGAUAAGCCACGGGGAGGAGCAAAUAUCCGAUAUAUCCGUGGAUUUCCGAAUGGGGGAACCCGCUCAAGCAAUACUUGAGUAUCGUGCGUUGAAUCAAAUAGGCGUACGAAGGGAACGGCCUGAACUGAAACAUCUAAGUAGGGCCAGGAAAAGACAUCAACCGAGAUUCCGCUAGUAGUGGCGAGCGAACGCGGAAGAGGCCAAACCGGAGGAUUUUAUUCUCCGGGGUUGCGGACAGACAUCAUGACCAGAGGAAGUUAGGAGAACGGCGUGGGAAAGCCGGCCACAGAAGGUGAGAGCCCUGUAUCCGAAAACGAAGACUGGCAGUCUGGAUCCAGAGUACCGCGGGACACGUGAAACCCCGUGGGAAACCGGGUGGACCACCAUCCAAGCCUAAAUACUACCUGAUGACCGAUAGAGGAGCAGUACCGUGAGGGAAAGGUGAAAAGGACCCCGGGAGGGGAGUGAAAGAGAACCUGAAACCUUGUGCUUACAAGCAGUCAAAGCGCGUUAAAGCGUGAUGACGUACUUUUUGUAGAACGGUCCGGCGAGUUAUAGUAACGAGCAAGCUUAAGGUAUUGAGUACCGGAGGCGAAGCGAGAGCGAGUCUGAAUAGGGCGUAAAGUUCGUUGCCAUAGACCCGAAACCGGGUGACCUAUCCAUGAGCAGGCUGAAGUGAGAGUAAAAUCUCAUGGAGGGCCGAACCGACCCCCGUUGCAAUGGUGGCGGAUGACUUGUGGAUAGCGGAGAAAUUCCAAUCGAACUCGGAGAUAGCUGGUUCUCCCCGAAAUAGCUUUAGGGCUAGCGUUAUGUUAGAUUACCGGAGGUAAAGCACUGAAUGGUGGCGGGGCCGAUAAGGUUACCAAGACCUAUCAAACUCUGAAUGCCGGAUAAUUGAUGACUAGCAGUCAGACAGUGUGAGAUAAGUUUCAUUGUCAAAAGGGAAACAGCCCAGACCCACAGCUAAGGUCCCAAAUUCAUGCUAAGUGGAAAACGAUGUGGAAUUGCGAAAACAACCAGGAUGUUGGCUUAGAAGCAGCCACUCAUUAAAAGAGUGCGUAAUAGCUCACUGGUCGAGUGACUCUGCGCGGAAAAUAUAACGGGGCUAAGCAUGAAACCGAAGCUUGGGCUUGUACUUAGGUACAGGGGUAGGGGAGCGUCGAGUAUGGGGUGAAGUCAGAGCGGAAGCACUGGUGGACUGUACUGGAGUGAGAAUGCCGGAAUGAGUAGCGAGAAUUAUGUGGGAAUCAUAAUGGCCGAAAAUCUAAGGUUUCUUGGGGAAGGUUCGUCCGCCCAAGGUAAGUCGGGAGCUAAGCUCAGGCCGCGAGGCGUAGGCGAUGCACAUACGGUAGAAAUUCCGUAACCACCGAAACUUAAACAGAGGGACACUUCGAAAUAGCGGAACCCGGGCGUUGGUUGACCCGGGCGUAAGGGAGCGAAAUUAGAGUAGCGAAGUCCGCGAUGUUCGGAGGCGAGAAAAGCUCUGAGGUAUGCUAAGGUGCCCGUACCGCAAACCGACACAGGUAGAUGAGGAGAGAAUCCUAAGGCCAACGGGAGAAGGGUUGUUAAGGAACUCGGCAAAUUGACCCCGUAACUUCGGGAGAAGGGGUGCUCCAGAGAUGGAGCCGCAGAGAAUCGGCCCAAGCAACUGUUUACCAAAAACACAGGUUUGUGCUAAAUCGAAAGAUGACGUAUACGAGCUGACGCCUGCCCGGUGCUGGAAGGUUAAGAGGAGAUGUGCAAGCAUUGAAUCGAAGCCCCAGUGAACGGCGGCCGUAACUAUAACGGUCCUAAGGUAGCGAAAUUCCUUGUCAGGUAAG
This 1887-nucleotide ribosomal RNA is filed under the name human gut metagenome. Its description in RNAcentral is "bacterial LSU rRNA". It matches the Rfam family "Bacterial large subunit ribosomal RNA", at positions 3 to 1980 of the family's 2925-position model. The record is from RNAcentral.